UAGGGAAUCUUCCACAAUGGACGCAAGUCUGAUGGAGCAACGCCGCGUGAGUGAAGAAGGUCUUCGGAUCGUAAAGCUCUGUUGUUGGUGAAGAAGGAUAGAGGCAGUAACUGGUCUUUAUUUGACGGUAAUCAACCAGAAAGUCACGGCUAACUACGUGCCAGCAGCCGCGGUAAUACGUAGGUGGCAAGCGUUGUCCGGAUUUAUUGGGCGUAAAGCGAGCGCAGGCGGAAUGAUAAGUCUGAUGUGAAAGCCCACGGCUCAACCGUGGAACUGCAUCGGAAACUGUCAUUCUUGAGUGCAGAAGAGGAGAGUGGAACUCCAUGUGUAGCGGUGGAAUGCGUAGAUAUAUGGAAGAACACCAGUGGCGAAGGCGGCUCUCUGGUCUGCAACUGACGCUGAGGCUCGAAAGCAUGGGGUAGCGAACAGGAUUAGAUACCCUGGUAGUCCAUGCCGUAAACGAUGAGCGCUAGGUGUUGGGGACUUUCCGGUCCUCAGUGCCGCAGCAAACGCAUUAAGCGCUCCGCCUGGGGAGU
RNAcentral lists this ribosomal RNA (536 nucleotides) under uncultured bacterium. Its description in RNAcentral is "partial 16S ribosomal RNA". It matches the Rfam family "Bacterial small subunit ribosomal RNA", at positions 355 to 881 of the family's 1533-position model. The record is from RNAcentral.